RNAcentral lists this long non-coding RNA (6257 nucleotides) under Ananas comosus (pineapple). Its description in RNAcentral is "long non-coding RNA (ACOM_LNC024189)". Lineage: Eukaryota; Viridiplantae; Streptophyta; Magnoliopsida; Poales; Bromeliaceae. The record is from RNAcentral.
AUCUAUCUCUCUCUCUCUCUCUCUCUCUCUCUCUCUCCCUUUUUCAAAUCGGAGAUCUCCACCACGAGCUCGAGCUCGAGCUGCUCUACCUAGGGAUUUUCGGAGAUUUCGCCCUCAAUCGCCUUUUCGGGCAAUUUCUCACUUGGAUCUACCCGGAGAUUGGUCUUCUUCGAAUGAUUUACCCAAAAAUUUUGGGCUAUUUGCUGCUAAAUCGACCUCAAUCCAGUUCUCUAAGAAAGGGUUUCACUAAUUUCAGCUGAUUCUAUAGCCUGAGUUUCCCAAUCACAAUAUUUCACAUUUUUUUCAAUUAUUUGGAGUUGAUUCCUUGUGAUUUGAUUUUUAUUAAGGCAUUUUGUUGUUUAAUUGCAUAUUGUAAUUGUAUAAUUUGAUUCUGUUUUAGGUUUACUGUUUUGAGUUUUUUUUUCUUUUUCUAAAUAUCCAUUGCUAGAUCUGUGAGUGGACAAAUUGAAGAGAACAACUAAUUUAUUUGCUUAUAAGAAUAGAAUGUGCAUGAAUAGGAUAGAAUAUAGGAUAUAUAUAUAUAUAGAUUGAUGUAGAUAUAAAUUAUGCAUAAUAUUGUUGCAGUGCUUUGUUGAGUCUGCGUGGUAUAGUUGCAGUUUGUAUUACUUUGCUUUGUUGAUGUAAGUGCUAAAAUAAGCCCCGGUUGAAAUGUGAUCUCUUAGGCUAGAGUUUAAGUGCUUGAAGAAUCUCUUUUAGACUUUGGAUAGGUUGGCCUGAACCACGGACGAAGCUAGCACUCGAUUAUGAGGGAGGCCAAAAUACAUAAAAAUUAAAAUUUUAGCAAAUAAACAAGAUUUACGUAGUCAAAUUUUUUAUGAGAAAAUAUAUUGGCUAAAUAAUUAGUGUAAAAAAUCAUUACCCCUUUUUAUGUAUACUUACUUAACUUCUAAUUAUUUUACUUAUAUUAUUUCACUUAAAUAACUUUGAAAUUUACUAAAUCUAAUAGCAAUUCAGUAAAUGAUUUAAUUUUUUAAUUUUUACUAAAUAUAAUUGUGACAAUAAAUAACUAUUAGUUGACAGAGCUAUUAACUUUACUAUAACCUUUAAUUUAAUUAAAUAAAAAAUUAUCUAAAAUAAUUAGAAGUUAUAAAGGUACUAAAUAAAAAAAAAAAUCAGAGUUGAGAGAGCAUUGUAUUAGCGCCAAAAUUUUUUAAAAAAAAUUAAUUACUCAUCAUACUUUUAAAAUUAAAUAAAAAUAUUUUUUUAAAAUUUUUUAUAUAUAAAGGACUACUAUGCAAAUUAUAAAAAUUUGGGGGGGGGGGGGCCAUAGCCCCCCUCAUUCCCGGCAUAGCUUCACCCCUGGCCUGAACUAUAAUGCUGUGGAGACUUUAAACUGCUUUAUAUUUGGCCCCAAAUGCCGAUAGUUCAAACUGGGUAGAGCAAUACAAAUCAAUUUGCGACCCUUUCAGAAUUCUGUUUUUCAAUUUAAAUAUUCUAAAGAACAAUUUUUGGUGCACUGAUGCUUUAUGACUUUGAUAUUCGGGACCUUUGAAAGUUUAAUCUACAUUGUUUCCAACCCUAUUUCCUUGACCAUAUCUCAGAUAUAAUUCCCUUUUGUGGCUGUUACAGGUUUAGUUCAGCUUUUACAUGCAUUCAAACUUUUUUGGUCGGCAUCAUAGGUGCACGUUGUGUGUGCGCGCGCACACGUAUGUCCAUGUGGUUGCUUGUACAUACAUUUGUGAGUGUGUGUGCACGCGCUUAUGCGUAUAGAUAUGCGCUUGCACCUGUGUAGCUCUCAUUAAUCAUAUUCAAUAUUUAUUUCGAAUUUUUGAGAUCAAGGUGCUUGCUCACAAACAGUGUCCCACCACCAUUCAGUGCUUCAUUCUACAACAUUAGGAACAAAAUUAGGGGGGGUUUUUGAGACUUUAAUUGUCACGCCCCGAGCCUGCCAAUUUGGUCGGUUCGGGCUCGUAUACAGACGCCGAACGAACAAAACCUCCUCUGUUCACCCAAGGCUCAACAACAACAACAAACAUGUAUAAAGAAAUGCCCAGGAAAAAUUUCUAAUAUACAUGGCUUGCACAAGAGCAAGCAACACAAGCAAGUGAAAGUAAACUAACUAAAGCAUUCAUACAUUGUAUCUUGAUUACCUUAAAUCAAAUACAAAGCUUGCAUGUUAUAACAUUCAUACAUUUACAUUGCUAUCUCUCAAAUGAAUAAUUUACAUUUCCCUUUAUCAACUAUAACAGAUGAAAUAUACAAGGUAUAACUAUACUCAAUGGAUGUCGCUAUCUACUGCGAGCUGUCCCUGUCACGAUCCUUGACCAUCCCGCACGAACUAAAACCUGUAUGGUUAAUGGUGUGAGAACUACUAAAAGUUCCCAGUGGGUUCGGCCGGCGACCUCGCCGACUCACCCACUAGGUCUAUUCAGGCAUAUGUAGGCAAGAAAAGAAAGUAGAUAGUAACCAGCUAAAACGUGUAACUACUACAAUGCAUGUACAAAGCUGAAAAGGGCAAUAUGUAACAGAUGAAUUUUAUGCAUGCAUGCUAUUGAUAACCAAUACCCAAUCAAUCUGGUUAACCAUUUAGUUAACUAUAACUCACCAACUCAAUCCCUUUUUGUCGGGCCCUAAGCUGCCUCCCGACGGGACCGUCUACUGGGAAGGCUUAUACGAUCAACCCAGCUGAUGACACACUCCGGAGCUUAUCGCCCAAGGAGGAGCGACCUUACCUCGAGCAUUAGACUAAUGUGAGUAGAUCCAACCCUCACAUAGAGGAUUCAACAGCUGACAAUGCUACACUUUAGAUUCUAACUAGCUCUUUAUGCUAGUUUACAAUUCCAAUCUCGAUGCUAACCAAUUCUUCUAGUCAUAAUGUCACCAAAUUUACUAUUGUCAUAGUCCACAGUAAUUCACACAUUCAUAGGGUUCUAUGUCCAUAGGUUCAUUACAUUGACGAGAAUUCAAUUGUUCAGUUACUAACUGCAUAACACAAUUUCUCUAUAAUGCAUGAAUAUGAUGCAAUCCAUAUAUAAAUAUGCUCAACAAGACGACAUAGACAUAAAGAGAGAUUCAAAGAUUUCGGAUAGCACCACCCACCUGUAGGGAUGCCGAAACACCAGAACCAACGUCUCGAAAUAUAUAAACAACUAGCCCUCGCGACUCGAUGCAAACGAGGCUAGAACGAAGCGUUUCUUAAUUAGCGCAUCGUAGGACCGUCGGAAUAUCAAUUCGAACUUCCGAGCACAUCUAACCUUCAUUCAUAGAGGAAUAAAAGGGAUUAAACCUAAGUCACAUUCACAUCUUUAUAAACUUUACAUUUCAACUCCAACUUGUAUAUAUGUAUAUACUAUCAACAUAUACAUAUACAUAGUCUUACUAUUAAGUUCCUUAUCCAUCUUACACUUUAGUAACCAAGAAUUAGGGACAAAUAACAUCAACUUUAAGCAGGGUUUAGUAUAAUCCUAGCUCAGAUUUUAUCUCCCAACAACUAUUACAAAGUAUACAUAUAUAUAUUCACACAUGUAUAUCACAUAGAACUGGUUCCAUAGAGCUCUAAACACUUAGAAACUUCAACACUUAAGAAGUCCUUUAUUUUAACUUUUCUUCACAGCAGGGGACAUCUUUCCAAUAAGAAUUCAAAAUUAAUUCAUCUCAGAUUUUGCUCUAACCAUUCAUCAACAUGUACAUAUAUAUACAUAUAUGUAGUUUUAUAUAGUUUCAAGUACUAAUUUCAACUUUAACCACCAAUUCUACACAAGUUUUAAUCAUUUAGAAUCCUUUCUUAGGCAGCAACACUUAACUCUAGCUGAAAAAUAAGUUAUUUACCUCAAGUUGUUGCUCAACUAGCUUGCUUUCAGCUCCAACAACCAAUAAACUCCAAUGCUGAAAAUCUGCUCCACCAAUUUCCUUACAGCUCACUACAAUUUCAGCAUAAGCAAUUAAUUCUAUUGUCUAUAUACUAAUACAAGUUGCAAACACUUAAAAAUCCUUCAUUCCACAUAUUUAUACAGCAAAGGAGAUCAUUCAAACCAGGAUUCAAAGUCAACUCAUUUCAGAUUUUACCCUACAAUCCCUAAUGAAUUGUACACACACAUAUAUAGUAUACAUGUAUGCAUGCUGUUUUCAGCAUGUGCUCAAGGUUUUCUAUAUACUACUACCAUCUUUAAUCACUUAAAACCCUCUCAUAUAGUAGCUAGUCCAAGUCCGAACUAAUAAACAGCUCCUUACCUCAGGUUUCCACGCUUCCUCAGCUGAACCUUGCAGUUCGGCAGCUCCACAAGCCCCAAAAUUCCAACUCUGCCAGCACCAACUCACCAAGCCUCAACCAGCCUAGAGAGAGAAAGAAAGAGGAAAGAGAUGAAAAGAAAGAAGAGAGAGAGGGGGCUGAAUACGUAGGCAGGUGUAAUUAACCUGGGGCUAAAAGAUAAGCUCAAAAAAUUGCACUUUAACCCCUUAAAAGACUGAAACAGCAUUGCAAUCCAGCAGUUUACAGUUCAGUCCCUGCAGGUUUACAAAUCAGUCCCUACACGUUUACAAAUCAGUCCUGCACUAGACAGCAGCUGGCAGCAGCAGUUUUCAGCCCCUUUUGUGCAUCUAAUUUACUUCGAGUCCAUUCAAACACUUCCAAAACACAUUAAUAAACCUCCACAAGCUACUAAUUUAGCUCGGAAGCAACCAAUUCCAUUUUAGCAUUUAUCUUGAUCAUUUUGAUCAAGAUUAGCAACAUAAUCAAACUCCAACACACUACAUGGCAGCAGCAGCAAUUGGAGGCCCUUUUGCUCAUCUAGUUCACUCCGAAUCCAUCUAAUUACCUUCAAAGCAUGCCAAACACUAUCCCCAAGCUAUCAAUUUAGUUUGGGAAUACCACAUUUACAUUAUUGCUUCUCUUUGAGCAAUAAAAUUCCAAGUUAAUCUUGUAAUCCAAAACUCUCUUUCAUUUCACGCCCGAUGUGCAUCAAACACGCAAUUACCUCCAGAAAUCAUUCCCACACCUCCAAAAUCACUCGAGAAUGAUGCACAUCCAAUUCAAACUUCACUUUAAUCUUCCAGAGCAAAGUUAGCGUCGCAACUCAAAAUUUUAGUAUAUUACAUUAACCCUCAUAAGAUUUUGAGUACUUUGGUCAUGAGUAAUGACACUUUCUUUUUUCAAUGUUGGAUAAGAAUCAUUUUUAAUAUCAAACAUGUCUGAAAGUGACAGUGCUAAAAUUUUACAUCUGGCCAAGUAGGAAAAGUAAAUGUGAAGUACUUAACAUUAAUUAUCUCAUUCCUCUGUGCAUUAAGUUUAUGCAACAUCUCUUUCAAAAAUUCGAAAUAAAUAUUAAUUCUAGUACAAAUUCGAGAUACCUGUUUGGUGCAGAGAAAAAUUUGAAUUUUCUCUUGCAACAGGAAGUUAAAAUAAAAUUCUGAGUGUCCAAAGCAGAAGCUCCACUUUAAUAUUUCCAAUUUUGAAGCAAAAAGGAACUAUUUGGUAUAUUUCAAUAUAUUUCAUCAAAUAAUAUUAGAAUGUGUUUGAAAUAAAUGAUUUCGUAUGUAGGUGUUUAGUAUAAUGGGAUGUUUGAUACGUAAGAACUCUAUUCCAAUUUUGAUUCCUGGGUAGAAUAGGAAUGUCUCCUUAUCAUCCUUUUUUCUAGUUCGGCCUAAGAGAUCAGAUUGAUAAUUGAAUUCAGACGGAGUCAAAGCCUGGCAGGGCUAAACCAGUGCUGAAUUAGUGAGGUGGGUCAGGGUCAGACCCAUGCUUGGAUCAUCAAAGCUAUGAACAUUAAACCAAGAAAAGGUGGAAUUACGAUUAAUAAUUGGAGAUGUUACUGUUGCCCUAUCACAUUAAAUAGGGCCCAUUUAUUUAUUGAUGUGAGAUGUGCUGAAUUAGUAAGGUGUGUAGCUCUCAUUAAUCAUACUCCAUCUAUUUAUGGAUGGCCUUUGAGAUUCCAUCAUAUUCAAUACUUCAUCUAUUUAGGCUUUAAAAUGUUUGUUCACAACUAAGUUUUUUUAUAGGGGGCGGGGGGGGGGGGGCUAUGCGUUGGUUUCUCUUCUACAUUUGUUAUCCUCUGUUGCAAUCCAAGUGCAUCAGGUAUUGUCAACUUGUCAAUUUGAGAUUAUAAUUUAAUUGAUUUGUUUGUGAUUGAUUCAUAUUGAGGUGUUAGAUUAAUAAUAAUUAUCAAAUUUGUAUUGCAGAUAAUAUAUAGUAGAGAUGGCAAAGGUGCAAGUGCAUCGGAGCAGCAAGGAUUUCAAGCUACUAAGACUGCCCAACCUCGCAAGCGACUGUUUUUCCGAAAAAUGAACGACCGAAAAACGAG